Molecule: long non-coding RNA, 1385 nt
Organism: Bos taurus (domestic cattle)
Lineage: Eukaryota; Metazoa; Chordata; Mammalia; Artiodactyla; Bovidae
Source: Ensembl
GGUUGCACUCUAGUAUAAUUGCUCCUUGAAUAUAAAGUAGGAGUGGGACAGCUCACAGAGAAGUUAAAUUUAUAGUCGUUUGGUUUCACUGCCCCCACCUCUCCGCUCCAGGCCUCAGAUCUGGGCCCUUCGCAAGGUUCACGAUCACUAGUGUGUUGACUUGAAUCAAGAGAAGGUGGUUGAGCCCACACCAGUAGGUCUGAACUGUUGAGCGCCUCCCAGCUUGCUGCGGCUCCAGAAUUUGGCUGCUGCAUGUCGUCUUUGGUUCAUCCAUUCAGCAGGCGUUGGUGAGCCCCAAAUGUCUAGUCCUGUGCGGAGGAAAUCCUCGGAAAGGCAAGAAAGAGGCCCUAUUGUCAAGCUGCUCAGCAUGCCAAAGAGGAGACACACACACAGCCUGCACACUGCUGUGCGGACGGACAACCGCCAGGCCACCGAUGACUAGAAUCCAGACCUACAGCUUUGUGCCGCCAGCCCAGAGUGGCCAGGGCUUGCUCAGCAACCGCCAGCUUCCUAAGCCAGUCCUUGGGUUCCCGUUUCAUAGUCUCCAUAUGACAUGUGUUUCAAUGGACAUGCCACCCAGCUGUAAAUGAGACAUUCUCAUUCCAAAAACGAUGGAAAAGAAAGAAGGGUUGACAGGUCCCAAACAAGCCUGAAGCUUCGCAAGGCAAAUUCCUUGAGACCUUAGGGCUGAGCCUGAAUCCGUGGGUCGGGGCCGGGCCUGGGAAUCUGCAAUCCUCACCUAAGUUCUCAAGAUCCCGUACCUCAGACUGCGGUCUGUGAGCAGCUACUUGGCCGCAGUCUGAACUUGUUGCUGGUGUGGACGCUCAGGCCCUACUUACAACCUACUGAAUAAGAAUCUGUAUUUAAACCUACGGUGUUUCUUCCUGGAGGAGGGCAUGGCAACCCACUCCAGCAUUCUUGCCUGGAGAAUCCCCAUGGCCAGAGGAGCCUGGCAGGCUACCGUCCGUGGGGUUGCAAAGGGUCAGACAGGACUGAGUGACUGAACACACACAGCAGGGCGUUUCGUGUGCUCAUUAAACCUUGAGAAGCUGUGCUCGAAGCAAUUCCCACUGAAAGAAUACAAAUACCACUUGGAAGGACUUCUCUGGAGGCUCAGUGGUAAAGAAUCUGCCUACCAAUGCAGGAGACGUGGGUCUGAUCCCUUGUCUGGGGAGAUCCCACCUGCCGCAGAGCAGCUAAGUCCGGGCACCGCCGCUACUGAGCCCACGCUCCAGAGCCCGGGAAGCGCAGUUACUGAAGCCCAAGAGUUUGUGCUCGGCAAUGAGAGAAGCCCCCACGAUGAGAAGCCUGAGCACUGCAACUAGGGAGCAGCCUCCAUGCUCCACAGCUAGAGAAAGCCCACGUGCGGCGGCGAAGACCCAGCA